GUAUCCAGAUACUGCAGAGUAUGGUGAGAGAUGCCAAAAGCAACUGCAAUUCAGAAUUAUCACGAUCUCACAUAAGGCUACGUGAAAAAGACCAACAGCGGGCAAACAAAGCCAAGUGCUUCCUGAGCUCUGCCAAGAAUUAAACACAGAGCUCCAUCAGCAGGAGGGCUUCCUUUGGUAACAAAA
This is a long non-coding RNA of Pipra filicauda (Wire-tailed manakin), 186 nucleotides long. RefSeq lists it as uncharacterized. The record is from RefSeq and is a predicted model, not a curated record. The transcript has 2 exons. Lineage: Eukaryota; Metazoa; Chordata; Aves; Passeriformes; Pipridae.